Molecule: ribosomal RNA, 460 nt
Filed under: uncultured bacterium
Lineage: Bacteria
Description: partial 16S ribosomal RNA
Rfam family: Bacterial small subunit ribosomal RNA
Source: RNAcentral
CCUACGGGAGGCAGCAGUGAGGAAUAUUGGUCAAUGGACGAGAGUCUGAACCAGCCAAGUAGCGUGAAGGAUGAUUGCCCUAUGGGUUGUAAACUUCUUUUAUAUGGGAAUAAAACGUUCCACGUGUGGGAUUUUGUAUGUACCAUAUGAAUAAGGAUCGGCUAACUCCGUGCCAGCAGCCGCGGUAAUACGGAGGAUCCGAGCGUUAUCCGGAUUUAUUGGGUUUAAAGGGAGCGUAGGUGGAUUGUUAAGUCAGUUGUGAAAGUUUGCGGCUCAACCGUAAAAUUGCAGUUGAAACUGGCAGUCUUGAGUACAGUAGAGGUGGGCGGAAUUCGUGGUGUAGCGGUGAAAUGCUUAGAUAUCACGAAGAACUCCGAUUGCGAAGGCAGUUCACUGGACUGCAACUGACACUGAGGCUCGAAAGUGUGGGUAUCAAACAGGAUUAGAUACCUUUGUAGUC